GAUGAACGCUGGCGGCGUGCCUAAUACAUGCAAGUCGAGCGAACAGAUAAGGAGCUUGCUCCUUUGAAGUUAGCGGCGGACGGGUGAGUAACACGUGGGUAACCUACCUAUAAGACUGGGAUAACUUCGGGAAACCGGAGCUAAUACCGGAUAACAUUUAGAGCCGCAUGGUUCUAAAGUGAAAGAUGGUUUUGCUAUCACUUAUAGAUGGACCCGCGCCGUAUUAGCUAGUUGGUAAGGUAACGGCUUACCAAGGCGACGAUACGUAGCCGACCUGAGAGGGUGAUCGGCCACACUGGAACUGAGACACGGUCCAGACUCCUACGGGAGGCAGCAGUAGGGAAUCUUCCGCAAUGGGCGAAAGCCUGACGGAGCAACGCCGCGUGAGUGAUGAAGGGUUUCGGCUCGUAAAACUCUGUUAUUAGGGAAGAACAAAUGUGUAAGUAACUGUUCAUCCCUUGACGGUAUCUAACCAGAAAGCCACGGCUAACUACGUGCCAGCCGCCGCAGUAA
Molecule: ribosomal RNA, 513 nt
Filed under: uncultured bacterium
Lineage: Bacteria
Description: partial 16S ribosomal RNA
Rfam family: Bacterial small subunit ribosomal RNA
Source: RNAcentral